GGCCUAACACAUGCAAGUCGAGCGGUAUGCUUCUUCGGGAGUAGAGAGCGGCGUACGGGUGCGGAACACGUGUGCAACCUGCCUUUAUCAGGGAGAUAGCCUUUCGAAAGGAAGAUUAAUACCCCAUAAUAUAUUAAGUGGCAUCACUUGAUAUUGAAAACUACGGUGGAUAGAGAUGGGCACGCGCAAGAUUAGAUAGUUGGUGAGGUAACGGCUCACCAAGUCUACGAUCUUUAGGGGGCCUGAGAGGGUGAUCCCCCACACUGGUACUGAGACACGGACCAGACUCCUACGGGAGGCAGCAGUGAGGAAUAUUGGACAAUGGGUGAAAGCCUGAUCCAGCCAUCCCGCGUGAAGGACGACGGCCCUAUGGGUUGUAAACUUCUUUUGUAUAGGGAUAAACCUAGAUACGUGUAUCUAGCUGAAGGUACUAUACGAAUAAGCACCGGC
This 450-nucleotide ribosomal RNA is filed under the name uncultured Flavobacteriia bacterium. Its description in RNAcentral is "bacterial SSU rRNA". It matches the Rfam family "Bacterial small subunit ribosomal RNA", at positions 45 to 497 of the family's 1533-position model. Lineage: Bacteria; Pseudomonadati; Bacteroidota; Flavobacteriia. The record is from RNAcentral.